CCUACGGGUGGCUGCAGUGAGGAAUAUUGGUCAAUGGUCGGGAGCCUGAACCAGCCAAGUCGCGUGAGGGAGGACUGCCCUGCGUAUUGUAAACCUCUUUUGUCAGGGAACAAAGACUGGGACGUGUCCCCGGUUGUAUGUACUUUAAGAAUAAGGAUCGGCUAACUCCGUGCCAGCAGCCGCGGUAAUACGGAGGAUCCGAGCGUUAUCCGGAUUUAUUGGGGUUAAAGGGUGCGCAGGUGGGUUUGUAAGUCAGUUGUGAAAGUUUGGGGCUCAAACCUAGAACUGCAUUUGAAACUGGCAGUCUCGAGUAGAGGAGAGGUAGGCGGAAUGCGUGGUGUAGCGGUGAAAUGCAUAGAUAUCACGAAGAACUCCGAUUGCGAAGGCAGCAUACCAACUCCACACUGACACUGAUGCACGAAAGUGUGGGUAUCGAACAGGAUUAGAUACCCUGGUAGUC
This 460-nucleotide ribosomal RNA is filed under the name uncultured bacterium. RNAcentral describes it as "partial 16S ribosomal RNA". It matches the Rfam family "Bacterial small subunit ribosomal RNA", at positions 338 to 795 of the family's 1533-position model. The record is from RNAcentral.